Molecule: long non-coding RNA, 707 nt
Organism: Hyaena hyaena (striped hyena)
Lineage: Eukaryota; Metazoa; Chordata; Mammalia; Carnivora; Hyaenidae
Exons: 3
Source: RefSeq, a predicted model, not a curated record
AGUGAAGUUGCCGGGGAAAUGGACGUGGAAGUGAAGCAGCAGCCAUUGUACUCUGAAGUUCAGUGUUGUACCACCGGUGCUGAUAAGCAACAGUGAGCUCACUGCCACUGGUUGCUUACGAGAUGAGGGUCACUGAAAGCCGACGACCUUCAUGAGGUUCUGCAUCACCUCUCUGGUGGCUUCACCCCAGCAGCUGGGAUGGAUCUCAGGACCUGAUCCGACUGCUGAGACAUAAACUCUCUCUGUUGCACCAGAACUGAAUAGGAGCCCCAGAAUUGCAAUGCCUACAACAGCCAUCUUCAAACCAUGAGGGGAACCAGUCUUAGAGAAGAUGACACCUUAGAAACCAGAGUAGGGAUCUAGGAAGAAACUGAGACCUUGGUGCUACCACAAAGCUGCUAGACCAACCAAUUAAGAAGGCUUUGUCGUCUCUGGAUGUCGUCUCUGGUACAUGAAAUAACAAUCCUCUUUAUUGAAAAGGCUGACCAUAUUGUACAUGUGUAUGUGUUGCACAAGCCUGUGGGCCCCGAACUUGAGUAUGAGGUCUGUGACAGCAGAAACAAUGUCUCAUCCAUAGCACACACUUCUUAAAUCUAAGAGCUAUACUAUAUCACACCAGACCAUACAUACCAUACCAUACGAUACUACUAUAUUGUAAUGCCUGCUCUACUAUAAGGUCUCAAUAAAUACUUUUUAUUAAGAGGGAA